ACACAAAGUGGAGUUGAAGUAGAUCUGAGAGGUGAGCGUGUCCCAGCCACGAAGAAGAACUCGGAGUGUUGGAUCAUGGAAGAAGAGACGUCCAUCCCUGAUGCUUGCUUUCCCUUUGACCUGCUAAGAAGCAGUUUUUGUAUUUGUUUCUCCCUUGUCCUGCUAAGAAGCAGUUUGCAUUUUGAAUUUAAAAAUUGAGGAUUAUGGGUAUACACCCUACUCCCCCCUCUGGUGACAUGUGCAGUGCUCUGCACGAACAUGUUAAGUAGC
This 270-nucleotide long non-coding RNA is filed under the name Salvia miltiorrhiza (redroot sage). RNAcentral describes it as "long non-coding RNA (SMIL_LNC011327)". The record is from RNAcentral. Lineage: Eukaryota; Viridiplantae; Streptophyta; Magnoliopsida; Lamiales; Lamiaceae.